RNAcentral lists this ribosomal RNA (329 nucleotides) under uncultured eukaryote. RNAcentral's name for it is "partial 18S ribosomal RNA". It matches the Rfam family "Eukaryotic small subunit ribosomal RNA", at positions 1470 to 1796 of the family's 1831-position model. The record is from RNAcentral.
CCCUUAGAUGUCCUGGGCCGCACGCGCGCUACACUGGGUGUCUGAGAUACGAGUCUGCCUGGUCCGGCAAGGUCUAGGUAAUCGCUAAAAGACACAUCAUGCUUGGGAUAGAUUAUUGCAAAUAUUAAUCUUGAACGAGGAAUUCCUAGUAAGCGCAAGUCAACAGCUUGCGUUGAUUACGUCCCUGCCCUUUGUACACACCGCCCGUCGCUACUACUGAUUGGAUGUUUAAGCGAGGUUCUCGAACUGCUAGCGACUUAGCUUCGGUGAGGUCGCAGUGUGGGAAGUGAACCUAGCUUUGGUGUCUAGAGGAAGUAAAAGUCGUAACA